This 482-nucleotide ribosomal RNA is filed under the name uncultured bacterium. RNAcentral's name for it is "partial 16S ribosomal RNA". It matches the Rfam family "Bacterial small subunit ribosomal RNA", at positions 28 to 523 of the family's 1533-position model. The record is from RNAcentral.
GACGAACGCUGGCGGCGUGCUUAACACAUGCAAGUCGAACGGUGAAGCGGAGCUUGCUAUGCGGAUCAGUGGCGAACGGGUGAGUAACACGUGAGCAACCUACCCUUGACUCUGGGAUAACAGUUGGAAACAGCUGCUAAUACCGGAUAUGACCCUGGUGGACAUCCACUGGGGUGGAAAGCUACGACGGUCAAGGAUUGGCUCGCGGACUAUCAGCUUGUUGGCGAGGUAACGGCUCACGAAGGCGUCGACGGGUAGCCGGCCUGAGAGGGCGACCGGCAUCACUGGGAGUGAGAUACGGACUAGACAGCAACGGGAGGGAGCAGUGGGGAACAUAGCACAUUGGGCGGAAGCCUGACGCAGCUACGCGCCGGGUGGGCUGACGGGAUGCGGUUUGACAACCGCUUUCAGCAGGGACGAGGAGUUUCUGGCGGUACCUGCAGAAGAAGCACCAGCGAACUAGGUGCCAGCAGCCGCCGUAA